CUCUAAAUAAUUUCAUGAUAGGGUUAGUAGCUAAUCUUUAAUUUUAUUAAGUUGCAUGGUGGAGUUACUUCAAAAGUAAUGUUUGGUAGAGAUGAGGUAGAAGUACUAACAUAGAAAUAGAAAUUGAGAUAGUUAACAAAAUAAGAAAA
Molecule: long non-coding RNA, 149 nt
Organism: Ricinus communis (castor bean)
Lineage: Eukaryota; Viridiplantae; Streptophyta; Magnoliopsida; Malpighiales; Euphorbiaceae
Exons: 2
Source: RefSeq, a predicted model, not a curated record